GAUCAUGGCUCAGGAUGAACGCUAGCUACAGGCUUAACACAUGCAAGUCGAGGGGCAGCAGAUCGAAAGCUUGCUUUGAUGCUGGCGACCGGCGCACGGGUGAGUAACGCGUAUCCAACCUUCCCUGUAGUAGAGAAUAGCCCGGCGAAAGUCGGAUUAAUGCUCUAUGUUGUAUUUCGAAGACAUCUGAAGAAUACCAAAGGUUUACCGCUAUAGGAUGGGGAUGCGUCUGAUUAGGUUGUUGGCGGGGUAACGGCCCACCAAGCCCACGAUCAGUAGGGGUUCUGAGAGGAAGGUCCCCCACAUUGGAACUGAGACACGGUCCAAACUCCUACGGGAGGCAGCAGUGAGGAAUAUUGGUCAAUGGACGGAAGUCUGAACCAGCCAAGUAAGCGUGCAGGAUGACGGCCCUAUGGGUUGUAAACUGCUUUUAUAUAGGGAUAAAGUCGGGGACGUGUCCCCGUUUGUAGGUACUAUAUGAAUAAGGACCGGCUAAUUCCGUGCCAGCCGCGGC
RNAcentral lists this ribosomal RNA (514 nucleotides) under uncultured bacterium. Its description in RNAcentral is "bacterial SSU rRNA". It matches the Rfam family "Bacterial small subunit ribosomal RNA", at positions 15 to 518 of the family's 1533-position model. The record is from RNAcentral.